GACGAACGCUGGCGGCGUGCUUAACACAUGCAAGUCGAACGGUAAGGCUCCAGCUUGCUGGGGUACACGAGUGGCGAACGGGCGAGUAACACGUGGGUGACCUGCCCUGCACUUCGGGAUAAGCCUGGGAAACUGGGUCUAAUACCGGAUAGGACCAUGGUGUGGAUACUGUGGUGGAAAGUUUUUUCGGUGUGGGAUGGGCCCGCGGCCUAUCAGCUUGUUGGUGGGGUAAUGGCCUACCAAGGCGGCGACGGGUAGCCGGCCUGAGAGGGUGGACGGCCACAUUGGGACUGAGACACGGCCCAGACUCCUACGGGAGGCAGCAGUGGGGAAUAUUGCACAAUGGGCGGAAGCCUGAUGCAGCGACGCCGCGUGGGGGAUGACGGCCUUCGGGUUGUAAACUCCUUUCACCAUCGACGAAGGGUUUCUGACGGUAGAUGGAGAAGAAGCACCGGCUAACUACGUG
This 466-nucleotide ribosomal RNA is filed under the name uncultured bacterium. RNAcentral's name for it is "partial 16S ribosomal RNA". It matches the Rfam family "Bacterial small subunit ribosomal RNA", at positions 28 to 507 of the family's 1533-position model. The record is from RNAcentral.